RNAcentral lists this long non-coding RNA (520 nucleotides) under Marmota monax (woodchuck). Lineage: Eukaryota; Metazoa; Chordata; Mammalia; Rodentia; Sciuridae. The record is from RNAcentral.
AGUCUUCAAUAAAUAUCAGUUGAAUGAAUUAACUGAGUAAACAUUUACUGAGUGCUGAGUAGGUGGCAACCAGUGCUGGACACUGAAAGAAUGUAUGAUAGAGUAAGAUGCAGGCCUGGAGGAGAAGAGUUUGAAGGUUCCUUGUGGGAGGCCAACCUUACGGGUGACUGAGUUACACUCCCCGGCUGGGUGCUGAGGUGCUCAGUCACAGAAAUGGGUGUGUCUUGCUACAGCCCCAUGGGUGAAGCUAUGCUCACCUGUUCCUUUGUAAUAUAACCACUUGCCCUGUUUAGGAUAGAAUCUUCCAUGGAAGUGCCUUGUGUGUGUCCCCUCCUCUUACUGUGCCCUUGGGUGUGGCCUACCCAGGUGUCAGUCAACCUGCUGACAGUGGACAUCAUGAAGAUACUCAGCCCCCUGAAACCUGACCCCUUGCCUCUUUUGAAUAGCUUCUCCUCAAUAAAAGGGGUCAGUGCAUGCUCUCGCUCUCUCUCUUUCUGCGGACCCUUAAGGUCAGAGGAGC